GUUGUCAAAAAAAUACGGUACUCUAAGCAAAAAUUUCUAGGUAUAUAAUUGAUGGGCUAGCAUUCACAGUUGGACGUCAGCGACCAUAUCACAUAUUCGAGCAUAUCACCAUCGUACUCAAGUCAAGCACAACUGCACAAGUCACGAGAGUUUCAGUGCAUAUGGUUGCAAGUCAUUCUUGAAAAUUCCUUGCUGAUGAGGUGUCAACACCUCACUCAGUCCUCGAACACGAUCCUCUUUCCUGUGUGAAAUAAUAGUUACAUGUAUAAAUUUCAAAUUAGGGAUAUGAAACAUUUCACAGAAACAACAACGAAUUUGAUUUGGAUAUGCAUACAAUUAUGUCAUGUGUGGCGAAGCACAAACAACUUUAGUUACGAAGGUCCACACAGAUAUGCACUAACCAUUUAUCUAUAGUUGCUCCUACCAUGGCUUUUGAAAUUGUGAUUCUCACCUAUUCAAAUACCACCCAAGUCACUUUCAAGAAUAAAACACGGAAGAACCGUAGCAGAAUCAUGCUCCAGAUAGUAUAAGCUAUCAGAAUUGUGAUACAAAGGAUGUUCCUGAACGACAUCCUUUUCUUCAAAUCUACUGUGAAUAUUCCUAUACAGAUGUUAUGCUAAACCAUAAAUAAACCCAGUGGUUCCUUUACUUGACUGCACAUUUCCCCAUUGUGGCGGCCCUCAGAUUGGUCCCCGACAAGCUCAAAGAAGAUAUGUAGCACAAAGGUACCGUCUUACACUCUCGUAAGCAAGGCUUAAGAUUGUAUCGGACAUUGGAAUACACUCUAUUUAAGCAAAAUUGACCUAAUUCAAAUAUUAUUAUGAAAUUAAUUUGAAUCUAGCUCAAAAACAUUAAUUACAAACUUUCGGUACCUGCUUGUGGUCUCACCCUCUUGGGUCCUACAUGGGUGGUAGUAGGCAUCUUACUAGGAGUAGUUGGGUAAUUUACCUGCGCCUCGGCGUACGCCAGUUAGCAGCCUGGAC
Molecule: long non-coding RNA, 983 nt
Filed under: Triticum aestivum (bread wheat)
Lineage: Eukaryota; Viridiplantae; Streptophyta; Magnoliopsida; Poales; Poaceae
Description: long non-coding RNA (TAES_LNC009453)
Source: RNAcentral